AGUGGACGCUGGCGGUAGGCCUAACACAUGCAAGUCGAACGGCAGCACAGUAAGAGCUUGCUCUUACGGGUGGCGAGUGGCGGACGGGUGAGGAAUACAUCGGAAUCUACUUUUUCGUGGGGGAUAACGUAGGGAAACUAACGCUAAUACCGCAUACGACCUACGGGUGAAAGCAGGGGAUCUUCGGACCUUGCGCGAUUGAAUGAGCCGAUGUCGGAUUAGCUAGUUGGCGGGGUAAAGGCCCACCAAGGCGACGAUCCGUAGCUGGUCUGAGAGGAUGAUCGGCCACACUGGAACUGAGACACGGUCCAGACUACUACGGGAGGCAGCAGUGGGGAAUAUUGGACAAUGGGCGCAAGCCUGAUCCAGCCAUACCGCGUGGGUGAAGAAGGCCUUCGGGUUGUAAAGCCCUUUUGUUGGGAAAGAAAAGCAGCAGGUUAAUACCCCGCUGUUCUGACGGUACCCAAAGAAUAAGCACCGGCUAACUUCGUG
RNAcentral lists this ribosomal RNA (492 nucleotides) under uncultured bacterium. RNAcentral's name for it is "partial 16S ribosomal RNA". It matches the Rfam family "Bacterial small subunit ribosomal RNA", at positions 29 to 507 of the family's 1533-position model. The record is from RNAcentral.